GCGGGGUUGGUGUAGUGGCUAUCACAUCUGCUUUACACGCAGAAGGCCGCGGGUUCGAUCCCCGCACCCCGUA
Molecule: non-coding RNA, 73 nt
Organism: Eimeria acervulina
Lineage: Eukaryota; Apicomplexa; Conoidasida; Eucoccidiorida; Eimeriidae
Source: Rfam